ACCUUUGUAGCACAGUUGGUUAGGGCGCUGCACCGGAAUCGCAGGGCCGUAGGUUCAAUUCCUACCAGAGAAC
This is a non-coding RNA of Paramuricea clavata, 73 nucleotides long. The record is from the annotation of a GenBank genome assembly. Lineage: Eukaryota; Metazoa; Cnidaria; Anthozoa; Malacalcyonacea; Plexauridae.